UACGUAGGGUGCGAGCGUUAAUCGGAAUUACUGGGCGUAAAGCGUGCGCAGGCGGUUCGUUAUGUCCGUUGUGAAAGCCCCGGGCUCAACCUGGGAAUGGCAAUGGAAACUGGCGGGCUAGAGUGUGGCAGAGGGGGGUGGAAUUCCGCGUGUAGCAGUGAAAUGCGUAGAGAUGCGGAGGAACACCGAUGGCGAAGGCAGCCCCCUGGGCUAGCACUGACGCUCAGGCACGAAAGCGUGGGGAGCAAACAGC
This 253-nucleotide ribosomal RNA is filed under the name uncultured bacterium. RNAcentral describes it as "partial 16S ribosomal RNA". It matches the Rfam family "Bacterial small subunit ribosomal RNA", at positions 524 to 776 of the family's 1533-position model. The record is from RNAcentral.